RNAcentral lists this ribosomal RNA (253 nucleotides) under uncultured prokaryote. Its description in RNAcentral is "partial 16S ribosomal RNA". It matches the Rfam family "Bacterial small subunit ribosomal RNA", at positions 524 to 776 of the family's 1533-position model. The record is from RNAcentral.
UACGGAGGGUGCAAGCGUUGUUCGGAAUUAUUGGGCGUAAAGGACGCGUAGGCGGUAAUGAAAGUCAGGUGUGAAAUACUUUGGCUCAACUGAAGAACUGCAUCUGAAACUUCAUAACUAGAGUACAGAAGAGGGAAACGGAAUUCCCGGUGUAGAGGUGAAAUUCGUAGAUAUCGGGAGGAACACCAGUGGCGAAGGCGGUUUCCUGGUCUGAUACUGACGCUGAGGCGUGAAAGUGUGGGGAGCAAACAGG